Molecule: ribosomal RNA, 506 nt
Filed under: uncultured bacterium
Lineage: Bacteria
Description: partial 16S ribosomal RNA
Rfam family: Bacterial small subunit ribosomal RNA
Source: RNAcentral
AGUGAACGCUGGCGGUAGGCCUAACACAUGCAAGUCGAACGGCAGCACAGGAGAGCUUGCUCUCUGGGUGGCGAGUGGCGGACGGGUGAGGAAUACAUCGGAAUCUACUCUGUCGAGGGGGAUAACGUAGGGAAACUUACGCUAAUACCGCAUACGACCUACGGGUGAAAGCAGGGGACCUUCGGGCCUUGCGCGAUUGAAUGAGCCGAUGUCGGAUAAGCUCGUUGGCGGGGUAAAGGCCGACCAAGGCGACGAUCCGUAGCUGGUCUGAGAGGAUGAUCAGCCACACUGGAACUGAGACACGGUCCAGACUCCUACGGGAGGCAGCAGUGGGGAAUAUUGGACAAUGGGCGCAAGCCUGAUCCAGCCAUACCGCGUGGGUGAAGAAGGCCUUCGGGUUGUAAAGCCCUUUUGUUGGGAAAGAAAUCCAGCUGGCUAAUACCCGGUUGGGAUGACGGUACCCAAAGAAUAAGCACCGGCUAACUUCGUGCCAGCCGCCGCCGUAA